RNAcentral lists this ribosomal RNA (505 nucleotides) under uncultured bacterium. Its description in RNAcentral is "partial 16S ribosomal RNA". It matches the Rfam family "Bacterial small subunit ribosomal RNA", at positions 28 to 507 of the family's 1533-position model. The record is from RNAcentral.
GACGAACGCUGGCGGCGUGCCUAAUACAUGCAAGUAGAACGCACAGUUUAUACCGUAGCUUGCUACACCAUAGACUGUGAGUUGCGAACGGGUGAAUAACGCGUAGGUAACCUGCCUGGUAGCGGGGGAUAACUAUUGGAAACGAUAGCUAAUACCGCAUAAUAUUGAUUAUUGCAUGAUAAUUAAUUGAAAGGUGCAAUUGCACCACUACCAGAUGGACCUGCGUUGUAUUAGCUAGUAGGUGAGGUAACGGCUCACCUAGGCGACGAUACAUAGCCGACCUGAGAGGGUGAUCGGCCACACUGGGACUGAGACACGGCCCAGACUCCUACGGGAGGCAGCAGUAGGGAAUCUUCGGCAAUGGACGAAAGUCUGACCGAGCAACGCCGCGGGAGUGAAGAAGGUUUUCGGAUCGUAAAGCUCUGUUGUAAGAGAAGAACGGGUGUGAGAGUGGAAAGUUCACACUGUGACGGUAGCUGACCAGAAAGGGACGGCUAACUACGUG